CGAGUGACCAUCGACGAAAGUCGACUUCCGCAAGGACACUCGUAGAGGUGCUGCAUGGCUGUCGUCAGCUCGUGUCGUGAGAUGUUGGGUUAAGUCCCGCAACGAGCGNAACCCUUGUUUGCUGUUGCCAUCAGGUAAUGCUGGGCACUCUGCAAAGACUGCCGGUGAUAAACCGGAGGAAGGUGGGGAUGACGUCAAGUCAGCAUGGCCUUUAUGUCUGGGGCUACACACGUGCUACAAUGGCCGGUACAAACCGUCGCGAUACCGCAAGGUGGAGCUAAUCGGAGAAAGCCGGUCUCAGUUCGGAUUGUAGGCUGCAACUCGCCUGCAUGAAGUUGGAAUCGCUAGUAAUCGCGGAUCAGCACGCCGCGGUGAAUACGUUCCCGGGCCUUGUACACACCGCCCGUCACAUCACGAAAGCCGGUUGUACUAGAAGUCGCCAUACCAACCCGCAAGGGAGGGAGGCGCCUAAGGUAUGGUCGGUGAUUGGGGUGAAGUCGUAACAAGGUAAGCGUAGCGAG
This 521-nucleotide ribosomal RNA is filed under the name uncultured bacterium. RNAcentral describes it as "bacterial SSU rRNA". It matches the Rfam family "Bacterial small subunit ribosomal RNA", at positions 989 to 1509 of the family's 1533-position model. The record is from RNAcentral.